Molecule: small RNA, 149 nt
Filed under: Salmonella bongori
Lineage: Bacteria; Pseudomonadati; Pseudomonadota; Gammaproteobacteria; Enterobacterales; Enterobacteriaceae
Description: Salmonella enterica sRNA STnc361
Rfam family: Salmonella enterica sRNA STnc361
Source: RNAcentral
UUAAUUUAAGGAAUAUCUUAUUAAAGCAGACAAAUAAUGUCAUCUUGAAUAUUAAUUUACCGAAAGAGUACCCCUGGUGCACCGCAAAGGAAACGCCCGUUUUUCGCUUGAUAUGUUACAAAGUAUAAAUUAGCACACGGCGUUAAAAA